RNAcentral lists this long non-coding RNA (21166 nucleotides) under Nicotiana tabacum (common tobacco). RNAcentral's name for it is "long non-coding RNA (NTAB_LNC009296)". The record is from RNAcentral. Lineage: Eukaryota; Viridiplantae; Streptophyta; Magnoliopsida; Solanales; Solanaceae.
GCCGUCUCUCUUUCCCUUUCCUCUUUUCUUUCUCUCACCUGUCAAACCAUCAAUCACCAGAAACCUAGCACAAAUUUGUGGAAAGUCACAAAAUUCGAGCCUAAAUCACUCAAUCUGUCUCCCUACAUCCGCGAAUCUUGCCGAUAUUUUCGAUUUCGUUAACAAAAUUCAAAAUCUCUAAUCUGAACCCUAGACCUAAACCGUGUUACUAAGAACCAUCUGUUCUCCCAUCGUUCUUUCAAAUCCAUGGCAUGCAUGACCGUGUCAUCGAAUUCAUUAUCAUUAUUCUUUAUCCAAAGGUCAAACGCAGUGACCACUGGACAUUGGGACUUUGUCCAAUGGGAGUUGCCUUUAACGAUCAUCUCCUCGUGCCGAGGUAAAUCUAUGUUACUUUUCCCUAUGUUCUUUACCAAUUUACCUCUAUUUGCUAACAUGACUCGACUAUCGUCACCUACCACUAUCAAUUUGAAAUCUGACUGGAACCCUAAGGCUUGAAUGCCACUAUAAAAGGGGCAUUCAAUGUCCUCACCUAACAUCCAUCGAAUACUGUCUGAAAUACAAAAGAAAGAAAUAAAGAAAAGGGUUAAAGCUUAAGGUUUCCUUACUAAGAACUCUCAGAUUUCUGUUUUCUUUUCUUAUCUCCAAUUCUGAGUUUGAUUGUUGUAUUGGUAUUGAGUUUGGGUCCCUAAACGGUUAUUAAACACUUCUUACUUGGUUUGUUUUCUGUAGAAGGUCAGUGCCUCUUGACCCCUCUCUUUAGUGUGGACUUGUCGUAUGGUUCUGUAUGAUUUCUUAACUGAUUUUCCAUCAUUUAUGUUAGUUGUUGAUGACAUGAACUUGUCUUUGUUAUAACCAGUCUUUGCAUGCUAUUUUCACUAUUAACUUAGGAACUUUCUGAUUGAAAUAUGCCACAUUGAUACUGUUAUUGAAUACGUGUAAUUAAAUUUUAGCCUUCAUGACUCAAUUCGAAAAAAUGACUCUAAGUUAAGUAAUAUUUUGUGAUCGACUUUGUUAAGCUUCUAUGAUUAAGAUAAGAUUAUCUUUUGUACAUAAUUUACCACUAUUGUUUGAACAAUGAUACUAGAUCAACUUAAAUCAUGUUCUUAAGCUUAUCUUUGUGUUUCUGUACCUUUAGGUUAUUCAACCCUCCUACUUGUGAUAAUAUGUUAAUCUUAUAGAUAGAAUCCAUGUGCUUCAUGUCAUGUAUUCAAUCUAUCCACUUUACUAAGUCUUGGAUGAUAAGUGUGAGAAUGAUAACCCGCUGGUUCUGCAUGUUUAAUGACCCCGUGUAUAGUUGUUGCCUUGAGACUCUUUUAGAGCUUCAUGCCUAGUUAAAUACUAUAAUGGUAAAUAUAGCACAUGAUCUAUUAGUCAAGUAAUUAGUUAUAUGUAUAUUAUUAUGGAAUAAAAUUAGGUUUCUAAGCUUCUUUGAAACACUAUCAACACUUACCACAUUGAACUAUUUUGAUAUCUAUGAAGUUUUUGCUAUUUUGGUUCAAUUCUUACUCUUCAUGUAAACUUGUUAGACUCUAAAUAGCAGCUUGCUCAUGCCAUUAUAGAGGAAUGAUCUUUGUGUGCCCUCUGUGAUAACUUAACCAUACAAUGAACCUUGAUAAUGUGUUAGGAACUUGCAUUCAUGAAUGAACAUAACUUAUUAGGAUAAAACUCUAUAGUGAGUACUAAUACUUGCCAUCUGAUGACUAGUUAAGUUCUGUGAAACUUCUGUUUUUAUGGUAUAAACCUUUGCACCUGAAUCCAAACCUAUUAUUAUUAAUUUGGAUAAGUUCACAUGCCAUCACCUGAAUUUAGUCUGAAUAAUUUUAUAUUUGUACCUAUGUGUUACAAUUUUGACCUCACUGUGGUAACACACUUGUUUGAGUUUGUAUUGUUUGUCAAAAGGCUUGCUUAGAAUGAUCUGUUCUCAUGACUCCAACUGUUAGGCUUAGCUAUGACUUCACACUAUUUUGAUAGGAUUGUCAUGUUAACUUGUAUCCAACCAUGUGUUGAGAUUUGUUGAGAUGCUAUGUUAAAACUGUUUACUUUCCCAACUGUUAACUCAGUAUGACCUGUUUACCUCAAUAACUUAAAGAAUAUGUUAUUCACCCAACUAGGUUUGUUCUCAACUAUGUUGAAGCUCUUCUUCAAAGUGUUUGUGUAUUGUUCUUAUACUUUGAACUUAUACAAAAGAACUCUGAGCAUCAAAUCUAUAGUGAAGACAACAGAACAUGUACUUAAACUCCCCUCUGCACAGUACUGACCUGUUAAUAUUUUCAGCCUAAAAACAUGAGUAAUUAAGCAUGCCUACUAUCUAUAUUUUGUGAUAUUGUGUCCCAACAGUGAUCUUAUGCCUACCUUUUAUCCUAUACAUUGAUUUAAAUCUCUGUUCAGUCAAAACUACGCCCUUAGCCGGUGUUUUGCCUUGAUGUUGAACUGCAGUACCUUAUUUGUUCACAGUUGUUGAGUUUUGUAUGUGCUUAAAAUUUUAAAAAGAAUGUUCACUAUGGCCUCUGCACCUACUCUUUGUGUCUUAGCAGUAUUAAGUCAUUCCGAUGAUUCUUUUAUUUAUGUUUAAGCCUUUGAGGAAGACUAGAAGCAGGUGGUUAAUGAUAUUUGGAUGUGAAACUUGUUAUGGUUGUGAUCUCUCUCCUUGACACAAGCACUUCUCGGGGUCCUUCAGACCCUCGUGAACUAUGAAGUGCCAAGGGUUCAAAGGGAAAUCAUAUCCAUAAAUAAUAAUUUUUAUCGAGCCUUUAAUCACUAACCUCUAUUAAUCCUCAUAGGAUUAGCAUAAAUAAAAUUAAUCUCACUACAGACUACAACUCUUUAUUACUAAUUAUAAUAUGUAUCUUACUAAAUUUUUUUACAAUUGAUAUACAUUAAUAAUUCUCUUUUUCUUUGUAUGCAUGAAUUCAACCCGGGCAUAUUGAGCCCAUUUGGAGCUCAAGUCCACUUUCAGUUCUGGGUCAUCGCAUUCAUGUCGAGUCUGUUGUUCGUGCACAUAAUAUUUGGCUUGAACAUUUGCUGGCCCAUAGCGAGAGUUUGGUUCUCCUUUCCUCUUCCUUUAAUUAUACUUGUUGUUCUCGGCCACCUCUGUGUGUGUGUAUAUAUAUAUAUGCAUAUAUAUAUAUAUAUAUAUGCAUAUUGAAUGUGUUGGAUAUAUUGUUCUUGUAGGAACAUAUGCAAACCAAGCUCAUAGGUAAAGAAUCAAAUCAGAAAUUAUACAUUUAAUUCCUCUAAUAUUAUCUGGUCGCUUAUUAAUUUCAAACUCAUUUUCCUAACAAAUGAAAGACUUUGUCUUGUUAAUCACUAAUAAUUUUUAAUAAGUUUUGGACUUUUGACAGAUUCUAGAAAGCAAAACGAACUCUCUCUGGAAAUCAGUUUUGCGAAAAAUAAUUGCUACAGUGUUCUCAAGAAAGAAAACCAAACACAUCCAAUGUUUAUAAACUAACGGGCUUCAACAAAUUUCAAAAUCAAGGUUUCGAUAAGGUAUACCUAUCUAUACUUGAGGCAUAUUUUCAAAUGGUUCACUUAUCUACUAAGUUACAUAUGGAUAACCAUAUUUAAUAAACACAUAACUUUCUUUCAAAUAAAGGAUUUGCUACAAGAUUUUUUUCUCGAAAAUGAAGUGUAUCUAGUUUUCUAUAUGAUAUAUUAAAGGACGAUUUCUCAUUAAACCAAAACUUAUGAACUUCUUUUCAAAGUACAUACACGGCCCUUUUCUUAAAUAAUGAAAUUUAGACUUAAUAUUUUGUAGAUUUUUGAGCACUUGACUAAGCAGAAUAUAGACGUUUCUUUCCCCGAACCUAGCCUAAACCUAAGGAGCUGCCUCAGGUAGAUUCUGAGGGGUACCUAACACCUUCCCUUUAGAAUAACUAGAACUCUUGCCGAAAUCUCACCGGUUAACAGACUGUUAGGAUAAUAAUCUUAUAAACCCAUAGGUACCCUAAUAUACCUUAAAAUAUUAGGUGACAGCUCUCUUUAUCAACUUCAAAUGAAUCAUUAGCUGUAUUUUGUUUGACUAGCGCAAAAUAGGAUGCAACAUCUAGUAGGUAUCCUCACCUUGAAAUUAGCUUUAGCACUUAUAAUGGCCGCCCGGAAACUAAGGCCUUACUUUCAAUGUCACAUAUCCCAGUAGUGACCACUUUUCCAAUACGAAACAUUCUUCAUAAUCUGGAGCGUUCAGGAAGUCUUGCCAAAUGGGAAGUCGAGUUAAGUGCAUUUGAUCUAACAUAUCAACCUUGCAUUGCUAUCAAGUAGCAAGUCCUAGCCGACUUUGUUAUUGACUUUAGUGUGAGUGUACUCUUGGAAGCUGAGAAUGAAGUGAUGUUUGCUUUUACAGCAGAUCCAGGGCUCAGGACCCUAUAUCUGACAGCUCCUCGAGUGUCGAUGGAUCUGGGCAGGGAAUUGUACUUAUUACCCGUACAAGUGAAAUAGUACGACAAGCCAUUGUCACGACCCCAAUUUCCCUCUGUAAAAUGUCGUGAUGGAACUAAGUCUUAGGGACUAGGUAAGCCUAAUACUUACUGAAUUAAUAGCAAACUCAACCCACAACUAUUAAAUAUGAAACAGAAAUUUAUCUAUACAAAGCCAAUAAUCCCAAAAUGGUAGUACAAAUCAUAACUCUACUGAGUUUAUUAGAAAAUCACUAAAUAAAAUUGUUCGAGAAUAGAAAUAACAGUACAAACUAAGAUUUCAAAAGGUAACUCUGAGGCCUGCGAAUACGACGACAGGUAUACCUUGAGUCUCCACAACAAAGUCUGAACCGCUAGCUAAUGAACAACCAACUCCGUAGUACCUAGAUCUGCACAAAAAUGUGCAGAAAGCGUAGCAUGAGUACACCACAUCGGUACCUAGUAAGUAUCAAGACUAACCUCGAUGAAAUAGUGACGAGGGAUAUUCAAGACACCUACUGGACUAGAUAAUCUGAACAAGUAUAAAUGUGAACUAGCAGGGGACAAUAUCAAUAAAGAGUUAAGCGUGAUAACAAUAACAAAACAAUGCUUGUAAUAAGAAACUAAGAGCAACAAUUAGCAACAGGGAAUAAACAGAUGAUAACGUUGUAGAGUAAGAUGAACACAGUUUAAGUCCGGUGAAACCAAAUAAAGGAACUCAAGUAAUAACUCAAUAAGAACAAUCGCUUUCACACCAUAUUUAUUCAAGAACUUCCACGAGGUACCAAACCUCAUAAUCACAAAUCACGAGUCCCAAUUCAUGAACCCUAUUCACUUGGUAUGCCCUUAUUACAAUUCAUAACCGCACGGACGACUCACUUUCUAAGAGCGUGACAAUAUCUAAUAUCUGCACGGACCACUUACGUGCCAACAAUAAUAAUGACUCAUGACUACACGAACAACUCACGUGCCAAUAGAACACCUCACCCACGGAAGGCAAGUAGACGAGAGUACAUGUAAAUGGUCAAUAACAUCAGGGUUCAUCUUCUUAAACUGAUACGGGUGAUCAAUUACAUGUAUGCUUUUGCAAGUGUUCUAUCAUAAUUCAAGUCAACAAGUAAGAGUAGAGAUAAUGAAAGUAAUAUAAGAAACGAUCACCAUAAAAUGUACAAGGUAUAACUCACACAAUUAGGCACACCACUACACAAACAUCAACAAUAACAAUGCCCCCAGGCCAUCACAAGUCAUCAUAAAUCAUUCCCCGAUAUAGCUCACCUUAUCUCGCCACGUGCACAACAAUAAAGUAAAUGCCCGCCUUGUCUCGCCGCACGUGCAUAAUAAUAUUCCCACCUUGUCUCGCCACAUGCGAAAACCUACAUAUAUCCCGCCUUGUCGUGCCACAUAUGCAAAUAUCAAUAACAACAAUAGCACGGACAACUCACGUGCGAACACUCCGACAAUCCUCUCAACAAUAUAACGUGUGCCAAAAACAUAACAAUACAAUAUAGGGUCUUUCACCACAUGUGCCCAUAUGCCACAACUUUUCCUCAAAAUAAUUUUAAUACCACAACCACGCAUAGCCUCGGCUCAACAACACUGAGUACAACAACAACAAUAACAACAAUAAUAAUAUGAGAGUACGGCAAGUAAAUCAACACAAGAACUUCAGAACACAAAGAAACGGAAGAAGAAGCUCACAAAGAAAGGCACAACAUGGAAUAAUUGUCUCAAAAUGAAUAGCUCAAUAAGGGGAGAGAUACUGUACAACAAUGAUUCCACAUAGGUACAACUUGACGAUAAGAGAUAUAGCAUGACUCAAAUGAUUUCAAAUAAGGAUAAGUCAAAAAUAAAAGGGAUAUCGAAACUUCAAUUAAGGUUAAGCAAUUAUAGAAAAGAUAACAUACUUCAAUUAGGUUAAACAAUUACGAAAAGACAACAUGGAAAUAAAAGAGGCAACAACUUCAGUUAAGACACAUAAGAGUCUAGUUGUCAAUAAAGGUAGAACAUGAAUCAAUUAAUUCCAAAUAAGACACGUAAGGGUGAAUCUAGUAAAUGGAGGAUUUAACAUGAUAAGACAACUUCAUUUUUUUAAUGGACAUAAGAACCUAAGAGCCUAAGAUGGUCAAAUUCUCACAAAUAAGCUCGAGUGCGUACUCAUCACCUCAUGUACACGGCCUUCACAUGACACAAUUAGCACAAAUAACUAAAAUCCUAAGGGGUAGUUCCCCAACACAAAGUUAGGUAAGAUACUUACCUCAAAGAAGAUAGACCGAUACUCUAAAAUGACCUUCUUGUGUGAAACACCCUCCGGACGGCUCAAAUCUAGCCAAAAUAACUUCAAAUCAUAAAUAAAACUCGUAGGAAAUAAUUCCGGAUAAUAAAGUUCCGAUCUUUAAUUAAAACUAAAAAGUCAACCCAAAAGUCAAUCCCAAACCCGCGUCUCAGAAUACAAAAAAAUUCAUAAAAUCCGAACACUCAUUCGAUAACGAGUCCAACCGUACAAGAAUUACAGAAUUCUGAUAUAAAAUUGCCCUUCAAAUCCUCAUUUUACAUUUUUGAAAGUUUUCCCAAAAUUUCUCAUUUGUCCUAUUCAAAUCACUAAUUUAAUGUUAAAAAUAAAGAUGGAAUUGUGAAAUAUAACUAAAUCCGAGUAAAGAAUACUUACCCCAAGGAAUUUCUUGAAAAAACCACGAAACAUUGCUCAAAUCCGAGGUUCAUAGCUCAAAAUAUGCUAAAAUACCUGAAACCUUCGAAAUAGAGUACUUAAAGGUCUUUUCCAGGGGUACCCUUAGCGAUCGCGGUCAAAACCUCGUGAUCGUGAUCAUAAAAAGUUUCCAGGACAGUUUUACUCUAUGCGAUCGCGGCCAUUUCCCCGCGAUCGCGAUGAACAAACUUCUAUUAACUCUACCAAACAGACUGUAGUGUAUCCACUAUAACCUUUUGUACACAACUCUAAAUGCCAAACGAUUUAAAUUUCUGAAAUCUAGACACAAAGAGCUAUAACUUUUAUUUUUGGAUCAUCUCCAAAUUUCUUAUAGAUUGCAAGAUAUGAACUUUCAAAGUCGGGUGAGUAACAUCCGAAUUUUCCUCUACGCGAUCGCGAAAAACCUUUCGCGAUCGCGAUUCACAAGCUCAUUUUCCCCAUUUUACUCUUCGCGAUCGCGACUAAUUCUACGCAAUCGCAAUGCACACUGCUGUAGCAAAAAACCAGCAACUAAAAAUGGCCAAAACAUUGUCUGAAACCACCCCGAAACUCACCCGAGCCCCUCGACACCCCGUCCUAACAUACCAACAAGUCCCAUAACAUAAUGCGGACCUGCUCGAGGCCUCAAAUCACAUCAAACAACAUCAAAACUACGAAUCGCACCUCAAAUCGAACUAAAUGAACUUAUGAACUUUCAACUUCUACGACUUGCGCUGAAUCAUAUCAAAUCAACUCGGAAUGACGUCAAAUUUUGCAUGCAAGUCCCAGAUGACAUAACAGAGCUAUUUCAACUUCCGGAAUCACAAUCCGAACCCUAUAUCAACAAAGUGAACUCCCAGUCAAACCUCUCAACCUUUCAAACCUUUAAUUUUUUAACUUUCGCCAAAAUGCAUCAAAUUAACCUACAAACCUCCAAAUCUAAAUUCGGACAUACGUCUAUGUCCAAAAAAACCAUAUGAAGCUAUUGAAAUCAUCAAAAUACCAUUCCGGAGUCGUCUACAUAAAAGUCAAACUCCGGUCAAGCCUAUUCACUUAAGCUUCUAAAACAAGAAUUGUUUCUCCAAAUCAAUACCGAAUCAUCCGAAAACCGAACUCGACCAAACGCGCAAGUCAUAAUACAUGAUACGAAUCUACUUGAGACCUUAAACCACCGAACGGAAUGCUAAUUCUCAAAACGACCGAUCGGGUCAUUAUAUUCUCCCCCUCUUAAACAAACGUUCAUCCUUGAACGUGCCAAGAACCGUUUUGAGGUAAUCAAAUCACUGAAUGUACUUACCACACAUUACUCGCGGGUGAUCCCACGUCACCCUAAUCGACAUAAGCUCGACAACACCAUCUCAAUUGAAGAUUAUUUCUCCCAUCCACACUGAUAAACCUUAGAAUCAAAUUUCUCACCAUCCGAUCAUUUCCAAAAGAACCGUUUCCCACAUCAACACACGGUACCAGCCCCAACCAGAUGUAAAACCUCGUGCCUACACCCACACGGUAUAACCAUACAAUGUAAUACAUCACACAUAUGCCCAUAAUAAUAACUCUAGCCACAAUAAUUGCCCACAAUCAACUACAACACCAGCAAUUAACCUCAUCUCAGUUUAAGCCUCGUUUCAAACUUUCAUAAUAAUUACAACGAUGUAAGAAAUAUGAAGACCUCAUAACUAUUCACCUGAUUCAUCCAGUCACAUUUAAUGCCACCUAGCCACACACCUCGUAAGCUAAAACUCAAUAAGCACAACGUGAAUAUGACUAAUUAUACAAAGAGAAACACAUGAGAAAACUAUCAAACAAGUCCAACAGGCACAACUCCCUAUCAGUACCAUACUACAAAUCAAUUUCACAAGGGAGAAUUAAAACACAUGAAUUAAUCACAAGGAUCUCAUCUUGAUAUAACUUUCAUCGUGGUACGUAGCCCAGUUCAAACAUAUUAAACCUCAUGAAAACGCGAGGACCCCAUCCUCAGCUCUGAAUCACAAGUAGUAUACCCAUUAUACCAACCGAAACCUUUCACUAAUUCAACUCCGCUAACAAAAUCACAACACAUACUGAACUCCCACACCGGUAGAACAUCUAAAUCAAACAUUGUAGCCCAACCAUACAGAAAUCACAUCAAAACUUACCUUAAUGAGUAACAGAAAGUCACUUCUAAUCUCGUAGCUCUCAAUAAUGAAUAAAACAAAACGAUAGACACGAGCUAGCACUAUAGAAUCUCCCAACAGGGGUAAACACAUAAGUAGAGUACAAAAAUCAUGAAACUCACCCAUAUGCGAAGCCAGAUAAGAGGACUCACCCCGAUAAGAAGAACCGAAUCAAAAUAAGAAUGAUUCUCCUCUAUAAUAAAUCGAAACCAUACAUGUAACGACAUCAUCAGGUUCAACGAUCUCAUCCCCACCAUAGAAAGAAUAUCAACAGGCCAGGCCUCCCCCUUUUGAGCGCCAUCUACCCGCCUGAAUACCCCAUUGCAACACAUCUGUCCGGAGUCUGGGAUAAUCUCUCACCGUGGCUGGUAUCUCCACACUCAAAGUAACCCCUCCGCUGGAGUGGCUGUGGAAGCUGUCCAAUAUGGGCACUUUGAGAUCCAUGGAUAUCUGAAGCACCGCGCGAAGCCUAAAGUGCAAAUUGAACUAGCUGACCCACAAAACCUCUACCAUGGCGUACCCUGCCUCCAAAAUAGGGACUAGUAGAUACUCUCGGUCCAUGAGGCUUAUUAGCCUCCCUGACCUCUUCCUCCUGAUCCCACAUGCCCUCUAAUCUAUAAGCAAUCUCUACCACCUACUGGAACGAAACAUCUAUCUCCAACUCCCGAGCCAUGCUGAAUCGGAUACCAUGACUGAGCCCCUCAAUAAACCUGCGGACUCGCUCUCUGACUGUAGAAACCAAAGCACGUGCAUGUCUGGACAAAUCACUGAAUCUAACAGCAUACUCUGACACGCGCCAUGCAUCCUGAAGGGUCUAAGGAACAAACUCUCUCAAGGACAUCUUUGAAAAUUAAGUCCAUGAAAGUGAAGCUACAUCGACCGGGCUACCAAACUUGUAUGCUAGCCACCACUGAUAUGCCGCUCCCUUAAGCUGGAAUGUAGUAAAAGCAACCCCACUCGUCUCCACAAUACCCAUAGUGCGUAGAAUGCGGUGGAACUCCUCUAGAAAACCAUGUGCAUCCUCUGAAGCCAAACCACUAAAGGUAGGAGGGCAGUACUUCUUGAAUCUCGCAAUUCUAAGCUAUUCCUCCUCAGAGGUUGCUGCCCUAACCACGGGAUAAACUGGAACAACAGGUUGUGUCGGCAUGACACCUAGAACCUGACCAACGUGGACUCGCUUCUCUGGAGUACGGGUAGUGGGAGUCUAAGCUACUCCCCGGUCUGCGAAGUACCUGGUGCAACUGGAACCAGCCCCGCCUGAGCCAAUGUGCCAAACAUGCUCAGGAACUGUGCUAAAGUCUCCUUAAGUCUGAGGGUAACAACAGGCGCCUCCGGUACUUUUCCCCCAACAGGAGCUACUGGCGGCUCCUCAGUUGUUGCUCUAACAAGUGCUCUAGUUGUAGCACGUGCUCCUCCUCUACCUCUACAUAUGCCUUUGCCUCUGCCUCGGCCCCUAGCAACAUCAUUUCUGGGGACAACAUCAUCAGUAACUACAACUUGUAUUCUCACCAUCUGUGAUAGAAUAGAAUGACAAAGGCUCAAACAAUGAGAUCAAUAAAUUCGCACUAUAGGAAUGAAAGAAGUGAAACUAUCCUAAUAGUUUCGUAGCCUCUCGAAGAUAAGUACAAAUGUCUCCAUACCGAUCUGCUAGACUCUACUAAACUCGCUUAUAACUCGUAGCACCUGUGAACCUAGAGUUCUGAUACCAACUUGUCACAACCUCAAUUUCCCUCUGUAAAAUGUCGUGAUGGCACCUAGUCUUAGAGACUAAGUAAGCCUAAUAGUUACUGAAUUAAUGGCCAACUCAACCCACGUCUUAACAAUCCCAAAAUCGGUAGUACAAGUCAUAAGCUCUACUGAGUUUAUUAGAAAAUCUCUAAAUACAACUAUUCCGGAAUAGAAAUAAAAUUACAAAGUAAGCUUUCAUAAGGCGACUCCGAGGCAUGCGAACACGGCGGCAGGUAUACCUUGAGUCUCCACAGCAAAGUCUGAAUAGCUAGCUAAUGAACAACCAACUCCGUAGUACCUAGAUGUGCACGAAAAUGUGCAGAAAGCGUAGCAUGAGUACACCACAACUGUACCUAGUAAGUAUCAAGACUAACCUCGGUGAAGUAGUGACGAGGGACGGUCAAGACACCUACUGGACUAGAUAAUAUAAACAAGUAUAAAUGUGAACUAGCAGGGGACAAUAUCAAUAAAGAGUUAAGCGUGAUAACAAUAACAAAACAAUGCUUGCAAUAGGAAACUAAGAGCAACAAUUAGCAAUAGGGAACAAACAAAUGAUAACGCAGUUUAAGUCCAGUGAAACCAAAUAAAGGAACUCAAGUAACAACUCAAUAAGAACAACCGCUUUCACACCAGAUUUAUUCUAGAAUUUUCACGAGGUACCAAACCUCAUAAUCACGGGUCCCAAUUCAUGAACCCUAAUCACUUGGCAUCUUGUUCCCUCAUUACAAUGUAUAACCGCAUGGACGACUCACGUGCCAAGAGCGUGACAAUAUCUAACAUCCGCACGGAUCACUCACAUAACCGCACGAACAACUCACGUGCCAAUAGAACAACUCUCCCACAAAAGGCAAGUAGACGAGAGUACAUGUAAAUGGGCAAUAACAUCAGGGUUCAUCUUCUUAAAUCGAUACAGGUGAUUAAUUACGUGUAUGCUUGUGCAAAUGUUCUAUCGCAAUUCAAGUCAACAAGUAAGAGUAGAGACAAUAAAUGGCACAUAAGAAACAAUCACCACAAAAUGUACAAGGUAUAACUCACACAAGUAGGCACACCACUACACAGACAUCAACAAUAACAAUGCCCCUAGGCCAUCACAAGUCAUCAUAAAUCAUUCCCCGACAUAGCCCACCUUGUCUCGCCACAUGCCCAACAAUAAAGUAAAUGCCCACCUUGUCUCGCCGCACGCGCAUAAUAAUAUUCUCAUAUUGUCUCGCCACAUGCGCGAACCCACAUAUAUAUCUCGCCUUGUCACGAUGCAUGUGCAAAUAUCAAUAACAACAAUAUCACGGACAACUCACGUGCGAAUACCCCGAUAAUUCUCUCAACAAUAUCAUGUAUGCCAAAAACAUAACAACACAACAUAGGGUCUUUCACCACAUGUGCCCAUAUGCCACAACUUUUCCUCAAAACAAUUUCAAUACCACAAUCAUGCAUAGCCUCGGCUCAACAACACUGAGUACAACAACAACAACAAUAAUAACAUGAGAGUACGGCAAGUAAAUCAACACAGGAACUUUAGAAUACAAAGAAACGGAAGAACAAGCUCACAAAGAAAGGCACAACAUGGAAUAAUGGUCUCAACAAGAAUAGCUCAACAAGGGGAGAGAUACUAUAGAACAAUGAUUCCACAUAGGUACAGCUCGACGAAAUGGUGAAUCUAGUAAAUAGAGGAUUUGACAUGGUAAGACAACUUCAUUUUUUUAAUGGACAUAGGAACCUAAGAGCCUAAGAUGGUCAAAUGACAUAAUUAGCACAUGUGACUUCACGUACACGGCCUUCACAUGAAACAAUUAGCACAAAUGACUAAAAUCCUAAGGGGUAGUUACCCCACACAAGGUUAGACAAGAUACUUACCUCAAAAAAUCUAGACCGAUACUCUAAAAUGACCUCCUUGUGUGAAACACCCUCCGGACGGCUCAAAUCUAAUCAAAAUAACUUCAAAUCAUAAAUAAAACUCGUAGGAAAUAAUUCUGGAUAAUAAAUCUUCGAUCUUUAAUUAAAACUAAAAAUUCAACCCCGGACCCGCAUCUCGGAAUUCAAAAAAAUUUACAAAAUUCGAACACCCAUUUGAUAACGAGUCCAACCAUACAAGAAUUACCAAAUUUCGAUAUCAAAUUGUCCUUCAAAUUCGCAUUUUAUAUUUUUGAAAAUUUUCCCAAAAUAUCUCAUUUUCCCCAUUCAAAUCACUAAUUUAAUGUUAAAAAUAAAUAUUGAAUUGUGAAAUAUAACCAAAUCCAUGUAAAGAAUAUAUACCCCAAGGAAAUUCUUUAAAAACCCACGAAUAAUCGCUCAAAUCCGAAGUCCCUGGCUCAAAAUAUGCUAAAAUACCUAAAACCUUUGAAAUAGAGUACUUAAAAGUCUGUUCAGGGGUAACCUUAACGAUCGAUGUCAAAACCUCGCGAUCGCUAUCACAAAAGUUUUCAAGGAUAGUUUUACUCUAUGCAAUCGCGGUCAUUUCCCCACGAUCGCGAUGAACAAACUUCUAUUAACUCUCCCCAAACUCUUCCAGACAGCCUAUAGUGUAUCCGCCAUAACCAUUAGUAUAAAACUCUAAAUGGCAAAUGGUUUAAAUUUCUGAAAUCUAGACACAAAGAUCUAUAACUUUCAUUUUUGGAUCAUCUCCAAAUUCCUUAUAGAUUGCAAGAUAUGAACUUUCAAAGUUGGGUGAGUAACAUCAGAAUUUUCCUCUAUGCGAUCGCGAAAAACCUUCCGCGAUCGCGAUUCACAGGCUCAUUUUCCCCAUUUUACUCUUCGCGAUCGCGACCAAUUCUACUUGAUCGCAAUACACACUUAUUAGCAAUAAACCAGCAACAAAAAUGGCCAAGACAUAUUCCAAAACCACCCAAAACUCACCCGAACCCCUCGAGACCCCAUCCUAACAUAACAAGUCGCAUAACAUAAUGUGGACCUGCUCGAGGCCUCAAAUCACAUCAAACAACAUCAAAACUAUGAAUCGCACCUCAAAUCGAACUAAAUGGACUUGUGUACUUUCAAAUUCUAUGACUCGCGCCGAAUCAUAUCAAAUCAACCCAGAAUGACGUCAAAUUUUGCAUGCAAGUCCCAAAUGACAUAAGGGAGUUAUUACAACCCUCAGAAUCACAAUCCGAACCCGAUAUCAACAAAGUCAACUCCCGGUCAAACCUCUCAACCUUCCAAACCUUCAACUUUUCAACUUUCACCAAAAUGCAUCAAAUCAAUCUACGAACCUCCAAAUCCAAAUCCGGACAUACGCCUAAGUCCAAAAUCACCAUACGAAGCUAUUGGAAUCAUCGUAAUACCAUUUCAGAGUUGUCUACACAAGAGUCAAAUUCCGGUCAAGCCUUUUCACUUAAGCUUCUAAAACAAGAAUUGUUCUUCCAAAUUAAUCUCGAAUCAUCUAAAAACCGAACUCGACCACACACGCAAGUCAUAAUACAUGAUACAAAGCUUCUCGAGACUUUAAAACAUCUAACGGAAUGCUAAUUCUCAAAAUGACAGGUCGGAUCGUUAUAACCAUUAAAUGUCAUUCUAUAACUAACAAUGCAUCAUAGUAUGAGGUUUUGAUCGCAGGCCUCGAAUUUGUAAGGGGAUAGGAGCAAAACAUAUAGAAUUGAAAAGCAACUCAAAACUAGUGGUCAACCAAGUAUAGGGGCUUACGAGGCAUGAGACUCGCAGAUAAUGCAAUUCCUAAAUAGAGUCACUUCUCUCCUUGGUCAUUUUCAGGAAUAGAAGGCCACUCAAAUACCCCGGGAAGAAUAUGACGAAGUUAAUGCCCUGGCCACGCUAGGGUCAUCUUUGAGCAUCAUUGAAUUGGGGAAAAAUUUGAUGGUUCAUCUAUUCUACUCUACUAUAGAUCAGCAACUGGAUAAGCAACCAUGGCUCAUUUGGUUUAGGAAUAGCAUGGAGAAAUCGUCGAUUAUUUGCAAAAUGAAACAUUGGUAGAAGAUAAGAAAAUAUCUCAAAAGCUUCAAAACAAUGCUACCAAAUAUUUCCUUGUAUCAGAUAAUUUGUACCGAAGAACCUACAACAGUCCACUAGUCAAGUGUUUAAGCCUAAAGGAUACCGAUUAUGUGAUGCGAGACGUUCAUGAAGGAAACUGCAGAAACCAUACGGGGCACCGAUCCUUGGUUCAAAUUUGUUAAGGGUCGGUUACUUCUGUCCCAGAUGAAACGAGAUGCAACAGAUUUUGUAAUAAAAUAUGAGAAAUACCAGCGGUUCCCCCGAUAAUGCACCAACAUGUGGAGUUAUUUAUUCAGUUCUAGCUCUGUGGCCCUUCAUGAAAUGGGGAAUGGUUAUUAAGUGACCGCUAUCACAAGCCUCUGGAAAAGUAAUAUUUCUCCUGGUCAUCACUAACUAUUUCUCUAAAUGGAUAGAAGCAUGCGCAUUUGCUAAAUCAGAGAAAAGGAAGACAUAAGCUUCAUAUGGAAGAAUAUUAUAUGCAGAUUCGGAGUACCGAAGGAAAUAACCUGUGAUAACGGGCCUCAGUUUGUCAUAUGCAAAACAAAAGAAUUCUACAAAGAAUGGAAUAUCAAGAGGGCUACCUCCCUCAUGUACCAUCCCGAAACAAAUGGACAAGCAGAAUCAUCUAACAAGGUUUUGCUAAAUUCGUUAAAAAGAGAUUGGAAGUAGCUAAGGGGAAUUGGUCAGAUGAACUGCACGGAGUACUUAGGGCCAAUAGAUAAACAACAAAAUCUAGCACCGAGGAAAUCCCCUUUUCCCUGGUAUACAGUACAAAAACACUCAUCCCGGUAGAAAUAGGGGAACCUAGCCUAAGGUUUACUCAUGCUACGAAAGAAGGCAACAACAAAAUGUUGGUUGUAGAAUUAGAUUUACUUGAGGGACGCCGAGAAUUGGCCAUAGUCUGAAUUGUUUCCUAGAAGUAGAAGAUCAAGAAAUAUUACAAUAAAAAAUAACCUUUAACACUUCAAGACUAGGGGCUAUGAACUUUGGAGUGUAUUCUCAGCAACACAGGAACUGAGCGUAGGAAAACUCCGCUCCGACCGGAAAGGACCAUAACAGAUCAUAGAAGUGACAAGGAAAGAAUCCUACAAGCUCGAAGUGAUGGAUGAAAAGCCCAUGAAAUUAAAUUGGAAUGCAUUCCACCUCAAACGGUUCUAUUUCUAGAAUCGCGAAGGUUUUUAUCUCCUUUCUUAUGCACGCAUUACAAACUAUCUUUCUAUGAAGUCCCGAUAGGUCAAACAGAGUACUAGCCUUUAUUUCAAUAUUUAGAGACCUCUAUUAGCUCCAUUUAAUGUUUCUCAAUUUGCGUGUGUAGUCCCUAUCUUUUUCUAGAAAGAUUUUAUGUGAAAAUUCGAAGAAAAUAUGAUUUUAGCUCAAAAAAUAACUUCAGCUGACUACGGUCAACAUUUUGUCUAAAUGAUCCCGGAUCGGUAUUAUAACAAUCCUGGUGGGUCUGUAUCAUAAUUUUAGACUUGGGUGUUUGCCCGAAAUUGAAUUCAGAAGUCCCUAACUUGAUUUGACUUAUUUUGCCGAAAGCUAGUAACUUGAAGGUUUAAAAACUUCCUAGGUUUGACUGUAGGUUGACUUUAUGGCUACCAGGUUCGGAUUUUGACUUUAGGACUAAGUAUAAGUCUGUUUUGCUAUUUAAAACUUGUCCACAAAAUUUAAUGCAAAUAUGAGUUGGUUUGAUAGGAUUCAGAAGCUCGGUUGUGAUUUUUGAAGUUCUUGAGUUUCUUUGAAAUAUUUCAUACAUUUUGAUAUCUGAUUCGUAGUUCUAGGUGUUAUUUUGAUAUUUUGAUCAUGCGAGCAAGUUCAUAUGAUGUUAUUAUAAUUGUGUGCAUAGUUGUUUUGGAGCCCGAGAGGCUUGGGUGAGUUUCGGACGCGUUUAAGAUGAGUUUGUUUAGUGUAUGGACUGCUGAUGCAAUGUUCAUUUCUGGUGUCUUAUGUAGAUCUCGUAUUUGCGAGGUCUGGAUAUCAUUUGCGAGCAUCGCUUUUGCAAUCAAGACAUCGUAUUUGCGAUCAGGGGCCUGGUCUGGGUGAUAUUGCAAUUGCGAGGAAUAAGUUCUCAUUUGCGAACAAUCAGAGGUCGCAUUUGCGAUCUCAAAGUCGCAUUUGCGACUUAGUGUUCUGAGGGGUGACCUUAGCAUUUGCGAAGUUGGAAGAUUUCGCAAUUGCGAACCUUUUGUGGCAUUUGCGACUUUCAGACUUCUGAGACAGGGUUCGCAUUUGCGACCUUUGUCUUGCAUUUGCGGUUCUCUCAAUUGCGGUGCUCGCAAUUGCGAACAAUACUUUGCAAUUGCGACAUUCGCAGCUGGGUAAAAGAUGGAAAAAUCGGCACUUAGCUCAUUUUACACCAUUUUUCAACUUAAACACUAUAAAGGCGAUUUGUCAAGAGACUUUUCUUCCCAAAAUCAUUGGUCUCCAUUUCUUUUUAAUUACCUAUUACUUUUCAUGUAUUUUCAACAUCAAAUCAAGGAUUUCCAUGGUAGAAAUUAGGAAUUUCGGUAGAAAUUGGAAAUUUUGUAAAAAUUGAGAUUUAGACCUUAAAUUAAGGUUGGAUUUCAAAAUAAAUCAUAUAAUCGGGCUCGGGUGAAUGGGUAAUAAGGUUUUGGUCCGAACCUCGAGUUUUGACCAAGCAAGCUCGGGGUUGACUUUUGUUGACUUUUUUCAAGAUCAUUAAAGAUUGUAUCUUUUUCACCUAUGGGUAGUUUCUAAAGCCUAUUUUAAAUUAUUUGAACUUUAUUUGGAUAGAUUUUAUUAGUUUGGAGGCUAAUUCUAAAGGAAAAGCCGUGGUUGUGCCUUGAUUUGGUUGCGGAGCGAGGUAAGUACCGCAGUUGUGCCUUGAUUUGAUUGAGUUCUCAGGUAAAUUUAAUCACUUGAUUUAUCUAAUUUAUCGAUUAAUCGGGUUUAUUAUGCUCACGAAGUUCUUUCGAUUCUUCGCUCUCCUACUCAAGACAACUCAAUACUAUAUGUCUAUAGAAUUAGAAUUAAUAAAAAUGCAUGUAGAUUUCCUGUGAAAAUAAUCAAGUAAGGCAAAUAGAAUAUGUCUAUCAUAAUCGCGAAUCUAUUCUCCGAUGCCCGGAUUAAGGAACUUACUCUAUUCAAUCUUAUAUGCAAUUUAUUGUUCCCACUUUCGAGUUCAACUAUGAAUUCGCAGAUAGUACUCUAUUGUUAUCUACGCAACAAGAUAAUUAAGUGUAAGAUUGAAUAAAUAAAUUAAUAUGGUAAACCAAACAAAGCAAUCAACUGUCAACUACAAUAGUCAAUAACGACCCAUAAACUCAGACUAAUGAGGUUCUUAGUCACUCAUGAUAUAGUUAAACAAUUUCAUAAGAGUUGAAUGGUUGAAAAUACUAAGAAAGAUGAAGAAAUACUGAGAAUCCUUGCUCCCAAGUGUUUCAUGCUUGUGUUUUGCUCUCAAAGUGGCGUCUCCCCCUCCAAAAUAGGUUUAGAUUUCUUUUUAUACGAGUUGGGGUAUGUAGGGCCGUCGAAACCUUGUCCCGGGCAAAAUAGGUUAGUGUCCCGUCAACCAAAGUCCAGGGCUAGCGCGUCGUGAUAGCCCUGGAGCUGGCCUGUUGGCCAAAAUAUUUAGAUCUGUAAACUGCGCCACGGGUAGCGUGAUACACUACCCAGGGCACUACACUGGCCCAUUUGUUUUUGUUCCCUUUUUGCUUCAAAUUGUGCACUUUCAUCCCACAUUGCCUCUCGAUGAUUCCUGCACAUAAAAUACCAUGAAUUAGAAUAAAUUUAUACAUUAUUCCAUAAAAUAGGAGCAAAAUGUGAGGCAAUAUGCAUAUAAAUAUAUAUACUUUAAGCCGAAUAUCAAUGGACCUACCUGAAUCUUUUGAGUAGGGACUCUACAAAUAUGGCAUGCUAGGCAAACUCAGCAUGAGUUUCAAAAUUCCUCAAGGAAGAAACAGUCUUAUCUCUUUCACAACCAAGUGUAAUGACCCGGCCGGUCGUUUUGAGUAUUAUAACCUCGUUUUCCCAUUUACUGCUCAAUUUAUGCUUUAUAUUUGUUAUGUGACUUGCCAGGGGUAAUUGGUUCGGGUCCGAUGAGGUUUUUGAAUGAUUUGCAACACCUAGUUCCAAGGUUUCAAAAUUCAGUUGAAAAUAUUGACCAGAUGUUGACGUAUGUGUAGUGACCCGAAGAAUAUUUGCUAAGGAAAUUAAGGUUUUAUGGGGUCGAGGUAGAUCAAUUAGUACAAAGGAAGCUCGCUGCGGCUCAGACUUUUUGGGUUGAACAAUGCACCGGAAAGUAAAGAAAAAUUUUUGGCAGAAAAAUGCGUUUCUGCGGUCCAUUAUGUGACCGCAUAAUCACUCUGCGGGCCGCAUAGUGGCCGCAGAAGAGGGCCAGUUUGGAUGAAAUCUGCAGUCGACUAUGAGACCGCAUAACUGUUCCGCGGUCACUAUGCGACACCGAUUAUGCGACUGAUAUGCGGUCCGCAUAACCAUUAUGCGGUCGCAUAUGCGACCGCAGAAUCCGUUCCGGAGCUUCAUUUUUCUGAUUUUAUAAACCCGAUCCCAUUCUUAUAAAACACUAUUGGGGGUCAUUUUGAAGGGUUUCAUCUGAUAUUUUAGAGAGAGGUGAGAGCAUUUUAGAGAGAGAAAGUGAAGACUUAGUCAUUUAUCCAUCAAUUUCUUGUUCAAGGUUUGAAGAUUUCACAAGGAUCUUGCUAGGGCUUCAAAGAGAUAAGAAUUUCUUUCCUCAAUUCUUCAAUUUCUGGUUGGAGUAAAGAAGGGUGAUUUAUAAUAUAGUUCUUGGGUAUAAGAGUAUUAUGUAUACAUACCAAUAAGGUUAUGGAAAGAUUGUUAGGUUCAAAUGAGUAAAGAUUGAGUUGAAAAUGGUAGAAAUCUUCAUAGACUUUAAUUGAAGAUUUGAGGCUUGAGUUGAUGUCGGAUUUUGGUAAAAUUUGUAUAGUUGGACUCGUAGUUGGAUGGGCGUUCAUAUUCUGUAAUUUUUGUUGGGUUCCGAGACGUGGGGCCCAUGGGCGAUUUUGAUUUAAUUUCGGAAUUUUUGUUAAAAUAUUAAUUUCGUUAAUUAGAUGAGUCUAUUAUUGUUAUAUUUAUGAUAUGUAAUUUCUUUUGGCUAGAUUUGGGCCAUUCGGAGCCGGAUAUUCGUGGAAAAGGCAUUGUGACCGAUUGAUUGAGCUUGGUUCGAGGUAAGUGGCUUGUCUAACUUCGUGUGGGGGAAAUCCCCUUAAGAUUUAGAACUAUUGUGCUAUGUGAGCGCCGUGUACGUGAGGUGAUGAGUACGUACACGGGCUAGUUGUGGAGAAACCCGAUUUUCUUACUGAGCAGCAACAUGUUUUUCUGUUAUUUUGAGUUAUACCAUUUUAAUGAGUACUAAUCUACUUUCAUUAUUAAAUGAGUUAUUCCAAUAUGUGUAACUAUCAUGUUUAGUCUAAUACAACAUGUCUACGUGUCUUAAUUGUUUAUGUGAAUUAUGUGCAGCAUGCUUAAUGAACUUCCUGCUUCUUCCCUGACUGGUACUUAGUCUAAAUUGUGAGAAUUUUGUGAUGUAGUUGUAUUUCUAUCAUUCGCGCUGCAUAUUUACUUUGGGACUACGGAACGGUAUUUCGGGAUAUUCCCCUGUCUUACAUAUUUACUUUGGGUCUACGGAACGGUAUUCCGAGAGAUCCCCCUGCACAUUUAUUUUGGGACUAUGGAACGGUAUUUCGGGAGAUCCCCCUGCACAUUUAUUUUGGGACUACGAAACGGUAUUCCGGGAGAUCCCCUUGCACAUUUAUUUUGGGACUACGGAACGGUAUUCCGGGAGAUCCCCUGCACAUUUAUGUUUGGGACUACGAGACGGUAUCUCGGGAGAUCCCCAGUUGUGUUUCUGUAUACUGAGUUGUUACCUUCUAUGAUUUCAUUAUUGUUAAAUUUCAUCCUUUAUUUUAUUGCGGUAUUACACUCUAUAUUAUUUUAUUAUAUAUUUACCAGUAGGGCCCUGACCUGACCGCGUCACUACUCGACCGAGGUUAGGCUUGGCACUUACUGGGUACCGAUUGUGGUAUACUCAUGCUACUCUCUGCACAUAUUUUUCAUGUGCAGAUCCAGGUGCACCUUAUCGGCCCCACUAUCAGUGAGCCGGGACAGCUUUGGAGACUUCAAGGUAUAUCUGCCUCAUCCGCAGACCUCGGAGUCCCCUUCUACUCUUUCUCAUGUCCAUUAUCUUCUGUAUUUUUCCUUGUUAGACUCUGAUGUAUAGAGAUACUAGAUUUUUUUUUCUGUAGUUUGUGAUUCACGAUGUUCCGGGUUUUGGGAUUUGC